This 484-nucleotide ribosomal RNA is filed under the name uncultured bacterium. Its description in RNAcentral is "bacterial SSU rRNA". It matches the Rfam family "Bacterial small subunit ribosomal RNA", at positions 28 to 505 of the family's 1533-position model. The record is from RNAcentral.
GAUGAACGCUAGCGGGAGGCUUAAUACAUGCAAGUCGAGCGGCAAGUUUUGAUAGCAAUAUUGGAACCUAGAGCGGCGCACGGGUGAGUAACGCGUACAUGACCUGCCCUAUACUGGGGGAUAGUCUUGGGAAACUGAGAAUAAUCCCGCAUGUGAUUAGAAUGCUGCAUGGCAAAUUAAUUAAAGCUGAGGCGGUAUAGGAUGGGUGUGCGUCUGAUUAGCUAGUUGGUAGUGUAACGGACUACCAAGGCGAUGAUCAGUAGGGGGCGUGAGAGCGUGACCCCCCACACGGGUACUGAGACACGGACCCGACUCCUACGGGAGGCAGCAGUAAGGAAUAUUGGUCAAUGGAGGGAACUCUGAACCAGCCAUCCCGCGUGAAGGAUGAAGGGGCUCUGCCUUGUAAACUUCUUUUGCAUGGGACGAAAAAACUUAAUUUAUUAAGGACUGACGGUACCAUGAGAAUAAGCACCGGCUAACUCCG